RNAcentral lists this ribosomal RNA (253 nucleotides) under uncultured bacterium. RNAcentral describes it as "partial 16S ribosomal RNA". It matches the Rfam family "Bacterial small subunit ribosomal RNA", at positions 524 to 776 of the family's 1533-position model. The record is from RNAcentral.
UACGGGGGGAGCAAGCGUUGUUCGGAUUUACUGGGCGUAAAGGGCGCGUAGGCGGCGCAACAAGUCACUUGUGAAAUCUCCGGGCUUAACCCGGAGCGGCCAAGUGAUACUGUCGUGCUAGAGUGCGGAAGGGGCUACUGGAAUUCUCGGUGUAGCGGUGAAAUGCGUAGAUAUCGAGAGGAACACCUGAGGUGAAGACGGGUUGCUGGGCUGACACUGACGCUGAGGCGCGAAAGCCAGGGGAGCAAACGGG